This 383-nucleotide ribosomal RNA is filed under the name uncultured eukaryote. Its description in RNAcentral is "partial 18S ribosomal RNA". It matches the Rfam family "Eukaryotic small subunit ribosomal RNA", at positions 592 to 976 of the family's 1831-position model. The record is from RNAcentral.
CAAUAGCGUAUAUUAAAGUUGUUGCAGUUAAAAAGCUCGUAGUUGGAUUUCUGGUGGGAGCGAUCGGUCUGGCGCUUAGCGCGAGUACUUGCAUCGUCUCCGGCCAUCCUUGGGGAGAGUCUGUCUGGCAUUAAGUUGUCGGGCAGAGGAUCCUCAUCGCUUACUGUGAAAAAAUUAGAGUGUUCAAAGCAGGCUUAUGCCGUUGAAUAUAUUAGCAUGGAAUAAUAAGAUAGGACUUUGGUACUAUUUUGUUGGUUUGCGCACCAAAGUAAUGAUUAAUAGGGACAGUUGGGGGUAUUCGUAUUCCGUUGUCAGAGGUGAAAUUCUUGGAUUUACGGAAGACGAACUACUGCGAAAGCAUUUACCAAGGAUGUUUUCAUUAA